UACGUAGGUGGCAAGCGUUAAUCGGAAUUACUGGGCGUAAAGCGUGCGCAGGCGGUGACGUAAGACAGGUGUGAAAUCCCCGGGCUUAACCUGGGAACUGCAUUUGUGACUGCAUCGCUGGAGUGCGGCAGAGGGGGAUGGAAUUCCGCGUGUAGCAGUGAAAUGCGUAGAUAUGCGGAGGAACACCGAUGGCGAAGGCAAUCCCCUGGGCCUGCACUGACGCUCAUGCACGAAAGCGUGGGGAGCAAACAGG
RNAcentral lists this ribosomal RNA (253 nucleotides) under uncultured bacterium. Its description in RNAcentral is "partial 16S ribosomal RNA". It matches the Rfam family "Bacterial small subunit ribosomal RNA", at positions 524 to 776 of the family's 1533-position model. The record is from RNAcentral.